UGAACGCUAGCGACAGGCCUAACACAUGCAAGUCAGGGGCAGCACAGGAGCAAUCUGAGGUGGCGACCGGCGCACGGGUGAGUAACACGUAUGCAACCUGCCUGUAAGCGGGGAAUAACCCGUUGAAAGACGGACUAAUACCGCAUAAUACUAAAUUACUGCAUGGUAAUUUAUUUAAACAUUUAUGGCUUACAGAUGGGCAUGCGCAUGAUUAGCUAGUUGGAGAGGUAACGGCUCCCCAAGGCAACGAUCAUUAGGGGUUCUGAGAGGAAGGUCCCCCACACUGGUACUGAGACACGGACCAGACUCCUACGGGAGGCAGCAGUGAGGAAUAUUGGUCAAUGGACGAGAGUCUGAACCAGCCAAGUCGCGUGCAGGAAGAAUUGUCCUAUGGAUUGUAAACUGCUUUUGCAGGGGAAUAAAGUGCAUCACGUGUGAUGUUUUGUAUGUACUCUGCAAAUAAGGAUCGGCUAACUCCGUGCCAGCCGCCGC
RNAcentral lists this ribosomal RNA (492 nucleotides) under uncultured bacterium. RNAcentral describes it as "bacterial SSU rRNA". It matches the Rfam family "Bacterial small subunit ribosomal RNA", at positions 30 to 518 of the family's 1533-position model. The record is from RNAcentral.